This 468-nucleotide ribosomal RNA is filed under the name uncultured bacterium. RNAcentral's name for it is "partial 16S ribosomal RNA". It matches the Rfam family "Bacterial small subunit ribosomal RNA", at positions 28 to 507 of the family's 1533-position model. The record is from RNAcentral.
GACGAACGCUGGCGGCGUGCUUAACACAUGCAAGUCGAACGGAAAGGCCCUGCUUUUGUGGGGUGCUCGAGUGGCGAACGGGUGAGUAACACGUGAGUAACCUGCCCUUGACUUUGGGAUAACUUCAGGAAACUGGGGCUAAUACCGGAUAGGAGCUCCUGCUGCAUGGUGGGGGUUGGAAAGUUUCGGCGGUUGGGGAUGGACUCGCGGCUUAUCAGCUUGUUGGUGGGGUAGUGGCUUACCAAGGCUUUGACGGGUAGCCGGCCUGAGAGGGUGACCGGCCACAUUGGGACUGAGAUACGACCCAGACUCCUACGGGAGGCAGCAGUGGGGAAUAUUGCACAAUGGGCGGAAGCCUGAUGCAGCAACGCCGCGUGCGGGAUGACGGCCUUCGGGCGGUAAACCGCUUUCGCCUGUGACGAAGCGUGAGUGACGGUAAUGGGUAAAGAAGCACCGGCUAACUACGUG